GAAUAUUGGACAAUGGGCGCAAGCCUGAUCCAGCCAUGCCGCGUGUGUGAAGAAGGCUUUCGGGUUGUAAAGCACUUUCAGUGGGGAAGAAGGCCUGACGGCCAAUACCCGUCAGGAGCGACAUCACCCACAGAAGCAGCACCGGCUAACUCCGUGCCAGCAGCCGCGGUAAUACGGAGGGUGCGAGCGUUAAUCGGAAUUACUGGGCUUAAAGCGCGCGUAGGCGGCCAAAUCAGCCGGUUGUGAAAGCCCCGGGCUCAACCUGGGAACGGCAUCCGGAACUGUUUGGCUAGAGUGCAGGAGAGGAAGGUAGAAUUCCCGGUGUAGCGGUGAAAUGCGUAGAGAUCGGGAGGAAUACCAGUGGCGAAGGCGGCCUUCUGGACUGACACUGACGCUGAGGUGCGAAAGCGUGGGUAGCAAACAGG
RNAcentral lists this ribosomal RNA (425 nucleotides) under uncultured bacterium. RNAcentral describes it as "bacterial SSU rRNA". It matches the Rfam family "Bacterial small subunit ribosomal RNA", at positions 359 to 776 of the family's 1533-position model. The record is from RNAcentral.